Long non-coding RNA from Rosa rugosa (rugosa rose), 2151 nucleotides. RefSeq lists it as uncharacterized. NCBI's taxonomy places the organism in Eukaryota, Viridiplantae, Streptophyta, Magnoliopsida, Rosales, Rosaceae. The transcript is spliced from 13 exons. The record is from RefSeq and is a predicted model, not a curated record.
CAAAGAUCAGCUGUCGCAAGGUAUGAAAAGUUUGCCACUGCAACAUACAUGCCGUCGCAUAAGAACUUAAGAAGGCUACGAUGCUACGGGAUUCUUUUAAGAAAAUCUGAUUUCGAAUCAAAAAAGCCUCAUUUUCUUCAACCCUCCUCCUCUCCCACAACCCUCUAUAUCCUUUUCUCCGUUCUUGUUCCAACUCACCAAAUUGAGGUUCGAAGAACUUGGUUGCCAUUGGGUUGAUCUGGAUCCAGAUCCAGGGCUUAUUCUUGUUUGUGUAUUUCAAUUAAUUUUCUCGAUCCAUUAUUGUUGAACUCUAGUCAACUAACAUGCUUCAAUUUCGUUGGCUGGGUUUCACUGCGAAUUCCCCUUUCACUCUGGUUUGCUAAAGCCUCCAAUCUCCCCCCCCCCCCCCAUCCUUUAUCACGACUAUUCUCUGUGCAUCCAAUUUCACAACGAAAAAAGAAAACCCUUGAUUUUUGGGGAAAAUCAGAAUGAAUGUCAAGGACAUCUUGGGUUUGCUCAAAACCAUGCAUCCCUUGUAGCGGGAGAAGAAAUCGCGGCUGAGUUCCAUUCGGAUUUUGGCGUAGUUCCGUGGACGCACGAUCUCUUUGGCUCUCUCCUUGACUGACUCACUCCCUCAUGGAUUUCUGGGUUGAAGAUAUUGGAAUUUGUCUCGAGCUUUUGGUCAACUGGUCUUGCUCUUGGACUCUUGGUUCGAUUCAAAAAUCUUCAAGCUUGAGAUUAGUUCAGCACUAACCAACUCAGUAUCUGACAUUUGAGAAGUUGAGCAUUGGGAAAAUCAAGUUCAAGGCUUUUGAUUUGGGUGGGCAUCAGAUUGCUUGCAGAUUUUGGACAGAUUACUAUGCUAAGGAAUAGUACAAGCAAAAAUUGAAAUUUUUGGGCUGCAAUGUUUGAUGUUGCUGAAGUUGGCAUUUUACUCGAUUGAAGUGUCCUUGCAGGGGAUAAUUUUAGCAUUAUUGUUUACGUUUGUUCUUUGAAGGUAAAAAUACUUGUUUUUCUGGUAUAUACAUAUGCUUAUAUUUUGUGGCUUGUUAUUGCGUCUUAUUUCCCUUGAAUGGAGCUUUCUUUUAUUAGGGAAAUUGGCCAAACCCCCGCAGUUGCACAAUUCACAGUGAAGAAUGAUGUGUCUCGCUGAGACACUUGAAGGGCAGCAAAGCAUUGAUGGUCUACAUAACUGUGGGAUCAGCUGCAUAUCCAAUCUUAGAAUUUUUAGAAGAACGAGGUACAUAAAAUUUUGAGGAUUUUUUUCCCUACUGUUAUUCCCCAAGCCACACAGAUUUUUGUUAAUGGCUGCUGGGUAAUUGGCAUACAUCGUGAUCCUGAAAUGUUGGUGAGAACAUUAAGGAAGCUAAGGCGGGAACACCAUGAAGACGGUGGUUGGCAUGAUCUUGUAGCAAAAGGAUUUAUAGAAUAUAUUGAUACUGAAGAAGAGGAGACCACUAUGAUUUAGAUGACAAUUAAUGAUCUUGUACAAGCAAGGCUCAAUCCUGAGGAGGCAAAUUCUGACACUUAUGCUCAUUGCAAAAUUCACUCGUCACUUAUAUUGAGUGUUUGUGCUUCAAUUAUACCAUUUCCUGAUCAUAAUCAGUCCACGUAGUACAUUCAAUCUGCCAUGAGAAAGCAAGCUAUGGGAAUUUAUGUCACUAACUACCAGUUCUGAAUGGAUACACUGGCUUUUGUUCUGUACUACCCUCAGAAGCUGCUUGUCACUACAUGAGCCAUCGAGCAUCUUCACUUCAGGCAACUUCCAACUAGAAUUAUGAGAUAACAUAUGUGAACCUUCUACUGAACCCUGAACGUUACACUGGCUAUGCUGGUCUGUCCAUCAGCAAGAAGGAUAUGGGAUGCUGUUUAUUCUGAAAAUUGCCCAAAAUGAUCUAUGCUUUCAUAAAGUAAUUAAUCAGAGGAUUUCAAUAUCAAUUUGCCUGAACUUUCAUAUCAAUAGAAAACGGACACAUAUCUUGAGGAAGAUGGAGGAAGAUCCCUGCAAAGCUUUUCUUGAAGUAGAGGAAGAAAAGUACCUUGUAUUAUCUUGUAAACUCUUGUAUAAGAGCUUCAUUUCUUUUGUAACAUUCAUGAGAAAAAUCAAAAUGUAACAUUCCCUUUUCAAUAUAUGUUUAAUUCCUUUUUGUA